This 479-nucleotide ribosomal RNA is filed under the name uncultured bacterium. Its description in RNAcentral is "bacterial SSU rRNA". It matches the Rfam family "Bacterial small subunit ribosomal RNA", at positions 26 to 518 of the family's 1533-position model. The record is from RNAcentral.
AGGACGAACGCUGGCGGCGUGCCUAACACAUGCAAGUCGAACGGAACGAAAAGAGCUUGCUCUUGGCGUUUAGUGGCGGACGGGUGAGUAACACGUGAGUAACCUGCCUUCAGAGGGGAAUAAUGUCUGGAAACGGACACUAAUACCGCAUAAAAUAUUUUAACCGCAUGAUUGAAAUAUCAAAGGAGCAAUCCGCUGAAAGAUGGACUCGCGUCUGAUUAGCCAGUUGGCGGGUAACGGCCCACCAAAGCGACGAUCAGUAGCCGGACUGAGAGGUUGAACGGCCACAUUGGGACUGAGACACGGCCCAGACUCCUACGGGAGGCAGCAGUGGGGGAUAUUGCACAAUGGGCGCAAGCCUGAUGCAGCAAACCGCCGCGUGCAGGAAGACGGUCUUCGGAUUGUAAACUGUUGUCCUCUGUGACGAUAAUGACGGUAGCAGAGGAGGAAGCCACGGCUAACUACGUGCCAGCAGCUGC